This 438-nucleotide ribosomal RNA is filed under the name Triticum aestivum (bread wheat). RNAcentral's name for it is "partial small subunit ribosomal RNA". Lineage: Eukaryota; Viridiplantae; Streptophyta; Magnoliopsida; Poales; Poaceae. The record is from RNAcentral.
AUGAGGGGUAGGGGAUGGAUACACUGCCAUGCCCAGUUCCUAGUACCAGUGGAGGCCGGUGGUCAAGAGGAGAGAUCCAUGGAGGAAAAGAAGAAACAGAGAGGGAAUGAGGGGAGGAGAAUGACGGGAGGGAGGAAGAGGAUAAGGAAGGAGAAAAAUAGAAAAGGGAAGGGACAACGUGGGCCCGACAAAAAAAACGUGCCGAUGCAGGGAGGUAGCGCAUGCCAGCGAGGACCCGCGUGGCGAAGCAGCGUGCGACCGGCGCAAACUCGGCCGGCGCACCGUUGCCAAACGUUUCCCAUAAACAAAGCAUAUAUUCAUAAUAUCACAAGCAGAAGCAUCCAACAAGCUCCUACAACCCAUGUAGAGCAAAGUGGUGAAGCCACCAACUGUUAUGCUACACAUAGCAAAGAAAACAUACGGUCCAACACACCUUGA